CCUACGGGAGGCAGCAGUGAGGAAUAUUGCGCAAUGGGGGAAACCCUGACGCAGUGACGCCGCGUGAGUGAUGAAGGCUUUCGAGUCGUAAAGCUCUGUUAGGUGGAAAGAAAUAUUUCAGUGCCAAUACCACUGGAAUUUGACGGUACCACCAGAGGAAGCACCGGCUAACUCCGUGCCAGCAGCCGCGGUAAUACGGAGGGUGCAAGCGUUGUUCGGAUUUACUGGGCGUAAAGAGCGUGUAGGCGGUUAGGCAAGUCAGAUGUGAAAUCCCUUGGCUCAACUAAGGAAGUGCAUUUGAAACUGCUUAACUAGAGUACAGGAGGGGAAAGUGGAAUUCCCAGUGUAGAGGUGAAAUUCAUAGAUAUUGGGAGGAACACCGGUAGCGAAGGCGGCUUUCUGGCCUGAUACUGACGCUGAGACGCGAAAGCGUGGGGAGCAAACAGGAUUAGAUACCCUGGUAGUCCACGCCGUAAACGAUGGGCACUAGGUGUAGGGAGUGUUGACCCUUUCUGUGCCGAAGCUAACGCAUUAAGUGCCCCGCCUGGGGAGUACGGUCGCAAGGCUAAAACUCAAAGGAAUUGACGG
RNAcentral lists this ribosomal RNA (588 nucleotides) under uncultured delta proteobacterium. RNAcentral's name for it is "bacterial SSU rRNA". It matches the Rfam family "Bacterial small subunit ribosomal RNA", at positions 338 to 916 of the family's 1533-position model. Lineage: Bacteria; Deltaproteobacteria. The record is from RNAcentral.